RNAcentral lists this ribosomal RNA (453 nucleotides) under uncultured bacterium. RNAcentral's name for it is "bacterial SSU rRNA". It matches the Rfam family "Bacterial small subunit ribosomal RNA", at positions 340 to 784 of the family's 1533-position model. The record is from RNAcentral.
UACGGGAGGCAGCAGUGGGGAAUAUUGCACAAUGGGCGCAAGCCUGAUGCAGCCAUGCCGCGUGUAUGAAGAAGGCCUUCGGGUUGUAAAGUACUUUCAGUCGUGAGGAAGGUGUUAAGGUUAAUAACCUUAGCAAUUGACGUUAGCGACAGAAGAAGCACCGGCUAACUCCGUGCCAGCAGCCGCGGUAAUACGGAGGGUGCGAGCGUUAAUCGGAAUUACUGGGCGUAAAGGGCACGCAGGCGGUUAAUUAAGUUGGAUGUGAAAUCCCCGGGCUUAACCUGGGAAUGGCAUUCAAGACUGGUUAGCUAGAGUCUUGUAGAGGGGGUAGAAUUCCAUGUGUAGCGGUGAAAUAGCGUAGAGAUGUGGAGGAAUACCGGUGGCGAAGGCGGCCCCGUCGGACAACGGACUGACGCUCAUGUGCGAAGCGUGGGGAGCAACAGGGAUUAGAUA